GGGGAAUAUUGCGCAAUGGAGGAAACCCUGAUGCAGCAACGCCGCGUGAGUGAUGACGGCCUUCGGGUUGUAAAGCUCUGUCUUCAGGGACGAUAAUGACGGUACCUGAGGAGGAAGCUCCGGCUAACUAC
This 131-nucleotide ribosomal RNA is filed under the name uncultured bacterium. RNAcentral describes it as "partial 16S ribosomal RNA". It matches the Rfam family "Bacterial small subunit ribosomal RNA", at positions 356 to 504 of the family's 1533-position model. The record is from RNAcentral.